CGGUUUUAACUUUAGUGGCGAACGGGUGAGUAACGCGUGAGGAACCUGCCUUUCAGUGGGGGACAACAGUUGGAAACGACUGCUAAUACCGCAUGAUACUUUUGGGAGACAUCUCCUGAAAGUCAAAGCUUUAUGUGCUGAAAGAUGGCCUCGCGUCUGAUUAGCUGGUUGGUGAGGUAACGGCUCACCAAGGCGACGAUCAGUAGCCGGUCUGAGAGGAUGAACGGCCACAUUGGGACUGAGAUACGGCCCAGACUCCUACGGGAGGCAGCAGUGGGGAAUAUUGGGCAAUGGGGGAAACCCUGACCCAGCAACGCCGCGUGAAGGAAGAAGGCCUUCGGGUUGUAAACUUCUUUUACCAGGGACGAAGGACGUGACGGUACCUGGAGAAAAAGCAACGGCUAACUACGUGCCAGCAGCCGCGGUAAUACGUAGGUUGCAAGCGUUGUCCGGAUUUACUGGGUGUAAAGGGCGUGUAGGCGGAGAUGCAAGUUGGGAGUGAAAUCCAUGGGCUCAACCCAUGAACUGCUCUCAAAACUGUAUCCCUUGAGUAUCGGAGAGGCAAGCGGAAUUCCUAGUGUAGCGGUGAAAUGCGUAGAUAUUAGGAGGAACACCAGUGGCGAAGGCGGCUUGCUGGACGACAACUGACGCUGAGGCGCGAAAGCGUGGGGAGCAAACAGGAUUAGAUACCCUGGUAGUCCACGCUGUAAACGAUGAAUACUAGGUGUGGGAGGACUGACCCCUUCCGUGCCGCAGUUAACACAAUAAGUAUUCCACCUGGGGAGUACGACCGCAAGGUUGAAACUCAAAGGAAUUGACGGGGGCCCGCACAAGCAGUGGAUUAUGUGGUUUAAUU
This 856-nucleotide ribosomal RNA is filed under the name uncultured Oscillospiraceae bacterium. RNAcentral describes it as "bacterial SSU rRNA". It matches the Rfam family "Bacterial small subunit ribosomal RNA", at positions 81 to 951 of the family's 1533-position model. The record is from RNAcentral. Lineage: Bacteria; Bacillati; Bacillota; Clostridia; Eubacteriales; Oscillospiraceae.